This 334-nucleotide unclassified non-coding RNA is filed under the name soil metagenome. RNAcentral's name for it is "partial contains 5.8S ribosomal RNA, internal transcribed spacer 2, and large subunit ribosomal RNA". The stretch from base 1 to 120 matches the Rfam family "5.8S ribosomal RNA", at positions 35 to 154 of the family's 154-position model. The record is from RNAcentral.
GAUGAAGAACGUAGCGAAAUGCGAUAAGUAAUGUGAAUUGCAGAAUUCAGUGAAUCAUCGAAUCUUUGAACGCACAUUUCGCCCGCUAGUAUUCUGGCGGGCAUGCCUGUUCGAGCGUCAUUUCAACCAUCAAGCCCUGCUUGUGUUGGGGUCCUGCGGCUGCCCGCAGGCCCUGAAAACCAGUGGCGGGCUCGCUAGUCACACCGAGCGCAGUAGCACAUCUCGCUCAGGGCGUGCGGCGGGUUCUUGCCGUAAAACACCCCCUUUUUACCAAGGUUGACCUCGGAUCAGGUAGGAAUACCCGCUGAACUUCAGCAUAUCAAUAAGCGGAGGA